RNAcentral lists this ribosomal RNA (442 nucleotides) under uncultured bacterium. RNAcentral's name for it is "partial 16S ribosomal RNA". It matches the Rfam family "Bacterial small subunit ribosomal RNA", at positions 338 to 795 of the family's 1533-position model. The record is from RNAcentral.
CCUACGGGAGGCAGCAGUGGGGAAUAUUGGGCAAUGGGCGCAAGCCUGACCCAGCAACGCCGCGUGAAGGAAGAAGGCUCUCGGGUUGUAAACUUCUUUUAAGCGGGAAGAGCAGAAGACGGUACCUCUUGAAUAAGGCACGGCUAACUACGGGCCAGCAGCCGCGGUAAUACGGAGGUGGCAAGCGUUGUCCGGAUUUACUGGGUGUAAAGGGCGUGCAGCCGGGAAGACAAGGCAGAUGUGAAAGCCCGGGGCUCAACCGCGGAACUGCAGUUGAAACUGGUUUUCUUGAGUACCGGAGAGGUAAUCGGAAUUCCUUGUGUAGCGGUGAAAUGCGUAGAUAUAAGGAAGAACACCAGUGGCGAAGGCGGAUGACUGGACGGCAACUGACGGUGAGGCGCGAAAGCGUGGGGAGCGAACAGGAUUAGAUACCCGGGUAGAC